CGGCGGAGCAUGUCGGAUUAAUUCGAUGCAACGCGAAGAACUUACCAAGGCUUGACAUACACCGUAACGCCCAGAGAUGGGUGCCCCUUUGUGGUCGGUGGACAGGUGGUGCAUGGUUGUCGUCAGCUCGUGUCGUGAGAUGUUGGGUUAAGUCCCGCAACGAGCGCAACCCUCGUCCUAUGUUGCCAGCGGGUCAUGCCGGGGACUCAUGGGAGACUGCCGGGGUCAACUCGGAGGAAGGUGGGAUGACGUCAAAUCAUCAUGCCCCUUAUGUCUUGGGCUUCACGCAUGCUACAAUGGCCGGUACAAAGGGCUGCGAUACCGCGAAGUGGAGCGAAUCCCAGAAAGCCGGUCUCAGUUCGGAUUGGGGUCUGCAACUCGACCCCAUGAAGUCGGAGUCGCUAGUAAUCGCAGAUCAGCAACGCUGCGGUGAAUACGUUCCCGGGCCUU
This 450-nucleotide ribosomal RNA is filed under the name uncultured Cellulomonas sp. Its description in RNAcentral is "bacterial SSU rRNA". It matches the Rfam family "Bacterial small subunit ribosomal RNA", at positions 930 to 1382 of the family's 1533-position model. Lineage: Bacteria; Bacillati; Actinomycetota; Actinomycetes; Micrococcales; Cellulomonadaceae. The record is from RNAcentral.